Molecule: ribosomal RNA, 410 nt
Filed under: uncultured Methylomirabilota bacterium
Lineage: Bacteria; Methylomirabilota (SeqCode)
Description: bacterial SSU rRNA
Rfam family: Bacterial small subunit ribosomal RNA
Source: RNAcentral
AGCGUGGAGACAGGUGGUGCAUGGCUGUCGUCAGCUCGUGUCGUGAGAUGUUGGGUUAAGUCCCGCAACGAGCGCAACCCUCACCCCUUGUUGCUACCAGGUAAAGCUGGGCACUCUAGGGGAACUGCCCCGGUCAACGGGGAGGAAGGCGGGGACGACGUCAAGUCAUCAUGCCCCUUACGUCCUGGGCUACACACGUGCUACAAUGGCCGGUACAAAGGGAUGCCACACCGCGAGGUAGAGCUAAACCCAAAAAGCCGGUCUAAGUUCAGAUUGGAGUCUGCAACUCGACUCCAUGAAGGAGGAAUCGCUAGUAAUCGCGUAUCAGCACGACGCGGUGAAUACGUUCCCGGGCCUUGUACACACCGCCCGUCACACCACGAAAGCCAGCUGUACUCGAAGUCGCUGAG